Molecule: ribosomal RNA, 484 nt
Filed under: uncultured bacterium
Lineage: Bacteria
Description: partial 16S ribosomal RNA
Rfam family: Bacterial small subunit ribosomal RNA
Source: RNAcentral
GACGAACGCUGGCGGCGUGCUUAACACAUGCAAGUCGAACGAUGAAGCCGGAGCUUGCUCUGGUGAAUUAGUGGCGAACGGGUGAGUAACACGUGAGUAACCUGCCCUUGACUCUGGGAUAACUGCGGGAAACUGUAGCUAAUACCGGAUACGACCCUCGGAGGCAUCUCCUGGGGGUGGAAAGAAUUUCGGUCAAGGAUGGACUCGUGGCCUAUCAGCUAGUUGGUGAGGUAAAGGCUCACCAAGGCGACGACGGGUAGCCGGCCUGAGAGGGUGACCGGCCACACUGGGACUGAGACACGGCCCAGACUCCUACGGGAGGCAGCAGUGGGGAAUAUUGCACAAUGGGCGCAAGCCUGAUGCAGCAACGCCGCGUGAGGGAUGACGGCCUUCGGGUUGUAAACCUCUUUUAGCAGGGAAGAAGCGAAAGUGACGGUACCUGCAGAAAAAGCACCGGCUAACUACGUGCCAGCAGCCGCAGUAA